GUAUAAAUGGUAUACAAUGAAACUGCGAAUGGCUCAUUAAAACAGUUAUAGUUUAUUUGGUAACCAAACUUACAUGGAUAACCGUGGUAAUUCUAGAGCUAAUACAUGCUGUCAAGCCCGACUCACGAAGGGCCGUAUUUAUUAGAUAUCAGCCAAUAAGCAUCUGCUAUUGUGGUGACUCAUAGUAACUUAAUCGGAUCGCAUGGGCUUGCCCCGCGACAAACCAUUCAAGUUUCUGCCCCAUCAUGCUUUCGAUGGUAGUGUAUUGGACUACCAUGGCUUUCACGGGUAACGGAGGAUUAGGGUUCGAUUCCGGAGAGGGAGCCUGAGAAACGGCUACCACUUCCACGGAAGGCAGCAGGCGCGUAAAUUACCCAAUCCUGACUUAGGGAGGUAGUGACAAGAAAUAAUGGGUCGGGGUUUUGCCCCGGGACUGCAAUGAGACGAAUUUAGACCCCUUAUCGAGGACCAAUUGGAGGGCAAGUCUGGUGCCAGCAGCCGCGGUAAUUCCAGCUCCAAUAGCGUAUAUUAAAGUUGUUGCAGUUAAAAAGCUCGUAGUUGGAUUUCUGGUUAAAGGUUAGAGCGCACCUGUGUGAGGCUCGAGUCUUUUGCCAUCCUUCUGUUAACCUUUCAUGACAUUCAUUUGUCGGUUUGGGGCUCAGAUAUUUUACCUUGAGAAAAUUAGAGUGUUUCAGGCAGGCUUGUGCCCGGAUACAUUAGCAUGGAAUAAUAGAACAGGACUUUAGCCUCUUCUGUUGGUUU
RNAcentral lists this ribosomal RNA (762 nucleotides) under uncultured eukaryote. Its description in RNAcentral is "SSU rRNA". It matches the Rfam family "Eukaryotic small subunit ribosomal RNA", at positions 63 to 850 of the family's 1831-position model. The record is from RNAcentral.